CCUACGGGAGGCAGCAGUGGGGAAUAUUGCAAAAUGGGGGAAACCCUGAUGCAGCGACGCCGCGUGAGUGAAGAAGUAAUUCGGUAUGUAAAGCUCUAUCAGCAGGGAAGAAAAGGACGGGACCUGAGUAAGAAGCCCCGGCUAACGACGUGCCAGCAGCCGCGGUAAGACUGAGGGGGCAAGCGUGAUCCGGAUUUACGGGGUGUAACGGGAGCGUAGACGGCAGUGCAAGUCUGGCUUGCAAGGCGGGCGCUCAACCCCCGGCCUGCUCUGGAAACUGUACGGCUGGAGUGCAGGAGAGGUAAGUGGCAUUCCUAGUGUAGCGGUGAAAUGCGUAGAUCUUAGCAGGCACCCCAGUGGCGAAGGCGGCUUACUGGACUGUAACUGACGUUGAGGCUCGAAAGCGUGGGGAGCAAACAGGAUUAGAUACCCGGGUAGUC
Molecule: ribosomal RNA, 440 nt
Filed under: uncultured bacterium
Lineage: Bacteria
Description: partial 16S ribosomal RNA
Rfam family: Bacterial small subunit ribosomal RNA
Source: RNAcentral